RNAcentral lists this ribosomal RNA (373 nucleotides) under uncultured bacterium. Its description in RNAcentral is "partial 16S ribosomal RNA". It matches the Rfam family "Bacterial small subunit ribosomal RNA", at positions 524 to 898 of the family's 1533-position model. The record is from RNAcentral.
UACGUAGGGGGCGAGCGUUAUCCGGAUUCAUUGGGCGUAAAGCGCGCGUAGGCGGCCCGGCAGGCCGGGGGUCGAAGCGGGGGGCUCAACCCCCCGAAGCCCCCGGAACCUCCGCGGCUUGGGUCCGGUAGGGGAGGGUGGAACACCCGGUGUAGCGGUGGAAUGCGCAGAUAUCGGGUGGAACACCGGUGGCGAAGGCGGCCCUCUGGGCCGAGACCGACGCUGAGGCGCGAAAGCUGGGGGAGCGAACAGGAUUAGAUACCCUGGUAGUCCCAGCCGUAAACGAUGGACGCUAGGUGUGGGGGGACGAUCCCCCCGUGCCGCAGCCAACGCAUUAAGCGUCCCGCCUGGGGAGUACGGCCGCAAGGCUAAA